Molecule: ribosomal RNA, 442 nt
Filed under: uncultured bacterium
Lineage: Bacteria
Description: partial 16S ribosomal RNA
Rfam family: Bacterial small subunit ribosomal RNA
Source: RNAcentral
CCUACGGGGGGCAGCAGUGGGGAAUAUUGGGCAAUGGGCGCAAGCCUGACCCAGCAACGCCGCGUGAAGGAAGAAGGCUUUCGGGUUGUAAACUUCUUUUAAGGGGGAAGAGCAGAAGACGGUACCCCUUGAAUAAGCCACGGCUAACUACGUGCCAGCAGCCGCGGUAAUACGUAGGUGGCAAGCGGUGUCCGGAUUUACUGGGUGUAAAGGGCGUGCAGCCGGAGAGACAAGUCAGAUGUGAAAUCCACGGGCUCAACCCGUGAACUGCAUUUGAAACUGUUUCCCUUGAGUGUCGGAGAGGUAAUCGGAAUUCCUUGUGUAGCGGUGAAAUGCGUAGAUAUAAGGAAGAACACCAGUGGCGAAGGCGGAUUACUGGACGAUAACUGACGUUGAGGCGCGAAAGCGUGGGGAGCAAACAGGAUUAGAUACCCCUGUAGUC